RNAcentral lists this ribosomal RNA (457 nucleotides) under uncultured bacterium. RNAcentral describes it as "SSU rRNA". It matches the Rfam family "Bacterial small subunit ribosomal RNA", at positions 26 to 518 of the family's 1533-position model. The record is from RNAcentral.
AGAACGAACGCUGGCGGCAUGCCUAACACAUGCAAGUCGAACGUGAUCCAGGCUUCGGCCUGGUGAAAGUGGCAGACGGGUGAGUAACGCGUGGGAACCUGCCCUGUGGUAGGGAAUAACCGUGGGAAACUGCGGCUAAUACCUUAUGAGUCCUUCGGGAGAAAGAUUUAUCGCCAUAGGAGGGGCCCGCGUCGGAUUAGGUAGUUGGUGGGGUAACGGCCUACCAAGCCUUCGAUCCGUAGCUGGUCUGAGAGGAUGAUCAGCCACACUGGGACUGAGAUACGGCCCAGACUCCUACGGGAGGCAGCAGUGGGGAAUAUUGGACAAUGGGGGCAACCCUGAUCCAGCAAUGCCGCGUGGAUGAUGAAGGCCUUCGGGUUGUAAAGUCCUUUCGGCGGGGAAGAUGAUGACGGUACCCGCAGAAGAAGCCCCGGACUAACUUCGCGCCAGCAGCCGC